GGCGGGCACGAACCCCUUCAACGCGGUGACGGGGCUGCAGCUGUCAGCGAUCCCACGGCACGGGCGGAGUACCCGCGCCCACCUUUGCGCUGCGGUGUCUGCUCUGCAGGUGCGGACGCUUCGGCGCCACGCUGCUGCUUGAGCUGGGCAGGAGCGCUCGCAGUAAUACUAUUUCCUCAUGUGGGCACAGUUAAAAGAAGACUUCUAAACAACAACAACAACAAAGAUUCUUUGCAUCACCACAGCAGCUGCCCAGACAUGCUUUAUCCCUUCAGCAUCCCCACGGGAAAUUCAAGGAAAUUUAUUCUGUUAGUGAAAGACUUUGGCCCCUGCACAGUUCAGUGCACCCUUUUCACAUCAGUGUUUGUCUCAGAAACACCCCUAAACAGCACGCCAGCGCUCCUGCCUCAUAGCUUCCUGGACUAAUGACAGAGUAACUUCUUGCGUGGGACCCUCAUGGGUGCUGCCAUGUCGUGGGCCAUAAAAACAAACGAUUUUGCCUGUGUGGAUAACCACUGCCCACAGUUCAUUGCAUCUGGUCUUCGACACAAACGGACAGAGCGCAAUAUAACCACAGCUGAUCCCCUCGAUUGUUACUGGGCUCUCCACCUCCUCCAACAGUCAUCAUUACUUUGCGACAGAGAGCAGCAGCCACAGAUCAACAGCCUCUUAGCGGUCAGCAACACUCCUUCUCUCCUAAGCGAGGUAUCUUUUGUUGUUUUUCUCAACGGUAGCUUUGCUUUGAGCUGGGUAACAAAUGCUUAUGUUCAACAGCUGACUCCCACGGAGCUGGUAUGGCCACGUAUGUCCAGCCAUUAACUGAAGAGCUUUGCUCCCCAGUCUCUUGAAUAGGUCAGGGCAUGCUGGAAACACACUGCAGUAAAGCUCCCCAGGCACUUAAGUUCUUUCGGCUUAACCAUCAGGCGAGCCUGGGCAUUAUGUUUCCAGAAGAGUCUAGCACAGCUCUUACUCAGAAACAGCCAGGUUCUUCCAGAAAGAUCUGGCUUGCGAAGCUCCAUCUUGAACAAAGUACUUGCUAAAUCUUCACCAUAAAACAUAUUUGUGUCCUACUGCUGUAACAAAAGCUAUUAAGUACCCUUUCCAGAAGUUAUUUUUGCUGCAUGUAACUUCCUAGGCUGCAAAUAUUAAAAAGAAGGGAGGCCUGAGGCACUAUCAUUUAACAUUUAACAUGUUAACAUUUGGUAUGCUUCAAUGGGCAGUCUCCAACAGGAAGCUGCAUUAUCUUUAUUUAUGGAGGGCAAGUAAGUACAGUCUCAAAAUCACAAGCUUCUUUCUGCGUUUGUUUGUAUUAAAAGGGUACUUUUCAGGAUUAAUUCUAAACUAAAGCCGGGAUUUGAUCAACAGUCGCAUCGCUUAGCGUUGCUCAGAGAGAUGUGACCGAUCUCAAAACCGUGUCAACUGAGUAAAAUGGAAACCCCCUUAAAACAAGAACUGAAGAGUCACCUUCACCUAGAUGCUGCUCUGGCUCGCUGUGUGACUCGCUUCUGGGUUACUUACCAAAGCACGCAAAACCGAGCCCUCAGCAAGAGGGCACCCGGGCCUCCCAAGGAAGCCCCAGAUCCACCAGCCCACUCUCACACGCCCCCGCGGCUCACAGACUCGAGCCGGGCGGGCUCCC
Long non-coding RNA from Struthio camelus australis, 1639 nucleotides. NCBI's taxonomy places the organism in Eukaryota, Metazoa, Chordata, Aves, Struthioniformes, Struthionidae. The record is from Ensembl.